RNAcentral lists this ribosomal RNA (377 nucleotides) under uncultured bacterium. RNAcentral describes it as "bacterial SSU rRNA". It matches the Rfam family "Bacterial small subunit ribosomal RNA", at positions 30 to 407 of the family's 1533-position model. The record is from RNAcentral.
AUUGAACGCUGGCGGCAUGCUUUACACAUGCAAGUCGAACGGUAACAGGGAGCUUGCUCCGCUGACGAGUGGCGAACGGGUGAGUAAUGCAUCGGAACGUACCCAGUCGUGGGGGAUAACGUAGCGAAAGUUACGCUAAUACCGCAUACGUCCUGAGGGAGAAAGCGGGGGACCGUAAGGCCUCGCGCGAUUGGAGCGGCCGAUGUCGGAUUAGCUAGUUGGUAGGGUAAAGGCCUACCAAGGCGACGAUCCGUAGCGGGUCUGAGAGGAUGAUCCGCCACACUGGGACUGAGACACGGCCCAGACUCCUACGGGAGGCAGCAGUGGGGAAUUUUGGACAAUGGGCGAAAGCCUGAUCCAGCCAUGCCGCGUGAGUG